GAAACUGUGGGGAAGUGGAAGGAGAAGAACUUAGCAGAGUCGGAAAAUACGAAUUGGAUUUUGGCUUACACAAAGCCCUGUCCUAAAUGCAAGAGACCGAUUGAGAAGAAUGAAGGGUGUAUGCGAAUGACAUGUAGAGACCCUUGCAAGUAUCAGUUUUGUUGGUUGUGCCUUAAUUCUUGGUCAACUCAUGGCUAUAAUCCGUGUAACAAGUACAAGCCGGGGAAUGAAGAUGAGAAAAAGAAAAAAAUGGCCAAGCAAUCUAUUGUGAAGUACACACAUUAUUACGAGAGAUGGGCUACUAAUGAGAAGUCAAGGCAAAAAGCUGUAUCGGAUUUGAGGAGAAUGGGGGAAGUUAAUGUUAAGGAGCUGAGUGAAUUGCAAAGCAUACCAGAGACACAAUUGAAGUUCAUUAUAGAAGCUUGUGAAGGGUGUAUGCGAAUGACAUGCAGAGACCCUUGCAAGUAUCAGUUUUGUUGGUUGUGCCUUAAUUCUUGGUCAACUCAUGGCUAUAAUCCGUGUAACAAGUAC
This 531-nucleotide long non-coding RNA is filed under the name Nicotiana benthamiana. RNAcentral's name for it is "long non-coding RNA (NBEN_LNC025620)". The record is from RNAcentral. Lineage: Eukaryota; Viridiplantae; Streptophyta; Magnoliopsida; Solanales; Solanaceae.